Molecule: ribosomal RNA, 497 nt
Filed under: uncultured bacterium
Lineage: Bacteria
Description: bacterial SSU rRNA
Rfam family: Bacterial small subunit ribosomal RNA
Source: RNAcentral
GAUGAACGCUGGCGGCGUGCCUAAUACAUGCAAGUCGAACGCAUUGUGGUUGAAAUGAUAUGAAGAACUUGUUCAGAUUUGAUUUUCAACAUUGCAAUGAGUGGCGAACGGGUGAGUAACACGUGGGAAACCUACCUCUUAGCAGGGGAUAACAUUUGGAAACAAAUGCUAAUACCGUAUAAUAAUUAAAACCGCAUGGUUUUAGUUUAAAAGAUGGUCUUGCUAUCACUAAGAGAUGGUCCCGCGGUGUAUUAGUUAGUUGGUGAGGUAAUGGCUCACCAAGACAAUGAUACAUAGCCGAGUUGAGAGACUGACCGGCCACAAUGGGACUGAGACACGGCCCAUACUCCUACGGGAGGCAGCAGUAGGGAAUCUUCCACAAUGGACGAAAGUCUGAUGGAGCAACGCCGCGUGUGUGAUGAAGGUUUCGGCUCGUAAAACACUGUUGUAAGAGAGAAUGACAUUGAGAGUAACUGUUCAAUGUGUGACGGUAUCUU